AGAGCGCUGAUGUAAAUCAUGUAGAAAUGCUGCUUUUCAUGUGUGAGGAUGCGCAAUGAGGGGGCGUUGCCGUUUGGGGUGUAAUGAUCCAAAAGAGGCGUUCAUCACCGAGCCCUCCUCCGUUCUCCAAAUGGCCUACUCGGAUCAUCUUGCCUUCAAUCAAUACUGCCUGAGAGGGAAAAAUCCAACACCUAAAGAUGAUUUGUUGUGCACCGUGACACAUUUCCUAUAAUACUUCAUAUGUGGCGCCUGGACCAGAACCUUUUGGUGAACCAGUUCUGACGUACAUGAAACAUCAAAGGUCACUCACUCAGUGAGUUAAAUCAGAGACAUUUAAAGGCAUUUAUUGACCAUCCUGUGGAUCUCAGCUAUACCUGCUCCAAGGUCGCGUUCAGUCAGCUGUGGAAAAUGUGCGUUAUUCACAAAAGGUGCAGGUGUUCAUGAACUGUGCAUAUGUUUCAUCAUAUUGCUAACAAUUUCAAUCAGCAAGAUGGUCUGUUAUCAUUUUAAGCACUUUUGCAGACCUUAGAAAUAACAUUUAACGUCAAGCACCGAAAGGACCCGGAAUCUGGACUGAGGAUGCGCCUCCGCGACGACAAUCUAGCAAAACACUGUACCUGCUAGGUUAGCAAAACCACUUGCAUCAAUCGCGGAACGAGACACACCAACCGACGACAACCACGUGGAGACUGUGGAGUCUGACCGUGCAGCAGCCACAGCUAAGAUGCAUCAACAGGCAUGUUGCCGAUGGUCAAGGGAAUUUUCAUCCUAGAGGAGACUGAGGGCAACAAAAAAAAUGAAUACUGCAACAAAACGGAGACUGCGGAGUAUACAGUAGACAACAGGGCCGCCAUCCAAAGGAAAGCAGAGACUUUGACGUACAGUACCUGUGUUUGUUAGCAAGGAACGACUAUCAGCUGCUGAUGACACAAUAGACGGGCGAUGGAGGUGACGUCCAGGUUCCUGUUUCCACAUAUUAGCAAGCUGACUGACAAGGCUGCCAAUGUAAAAGCUUUUCUUCCUGGCUCUUUGGACUGUGUAGCUACGAGCCCAGAAUGAUGGGUGAACAGAGCAUAUCAAGCAGUCGCCGUGCCCCUCAAGAAAGAGAAAGUGAAAGUUAAGCUGUGUCUGAAAGAGAGAGAGAUAACAAUGCACCUGCUGUGUGUCUGACCUUUCUUCCAGUAUUUUUCCAUGAGUCAUAUCUAAGUGUUGUGCAACUCUGAUUGUGCUAUGUGAGAAGAAGGCCUUCUAUGAGAAGCUAUUAGACUGACCAUGCACUGAGCUAAUAGGCUGAAUCCAAAGGUGUACUAAUAAUAUUUAACGCUACCAAGGAGGCGUUGUGAUAAAAAUACAUUAAGAACACAGGUGAAGUUCCACAGCGAAUAACAACACGACAAGACGACCAGAUUGUUCACCACCACCAUCACCACCAAGUACGCAAACAGUAUCCAGUAUGGCGGAAAUGAUCAAAUAUUCCAAUGAAAAUGUACAUGACAUUCCGUCUUCCUUACAAAUGUGGUCUAAAUGUCCACAGCGAGUAUUUCUUAUGUGCUUAUG
Molecule: long non-coding RNA, 1557 nt
Organism: Dunckerocampus dactyliophorus (ringed pipefish)
Lineage: Eukaryota; Metazoa; Chordata; Actinopteri; Syngnathiformes; Syngnathidae
Exons: 4
Source: RefSeq, a predicted model, not a curated record